ACUCGAGUGGCGAACGGGUGAGUAACACGUGGGUGAUCUGCCCUGCACUUCGGGAUAAGCCUGGGAAACUGGGUCUAAUACCGGAUAGGAGCCAUUUUUAGUGUGAUGGUUGGAAAGUUUUUCGGUGUAGGAUGAGCUCGCGGCCUAUCAGUUUGUUGGUGGGGUAAUGGCCUACCAAGGCGGCGACGGGUAGCCGGCCUGAGAGGGUGGACGGCCACAUUGGGACUGAGAUACGGCCCAG
This 241-nucleotide ribosomal RNA is filed under the name uncultured Actinomycetales bacterium. Its description in RNAcentral is "partial 16S ribosomal RNA". It matches the Rfam family "Bacterial small subunit ribosomal RNA", at positions 89 to 334 of the family's 1533-position model. The record is from RNAcentral. Lineage: Bacteria; Bacillati; Actinomycetota; Actinomycetes; Actinomycetales.